AGUCGAGGGGUAUUUAUCUUCGGAUAGAGAGACCGGCGCACGGGUGCGUAACGCGUAUGCAAUCUACCUUUUACAGAGGGAUAGCCCAGAGAAAUUUGGAUUAAUACCUCAUAGUAUAUAAACUUCGCAUGAAGACAAUAUUAAAGUCACAACGGUAAAAGAUGAGCAUGCGUCCCAUUAGCUAGUUGGUAAGGUAACGGCUUACCAAGGCUACGAUGGGUAGGGGUCCUGAGAGGGAGAUCCCCCACACUGGUACUGAGACACGGACCAGACUCCUACGGGAGGCAGCAGUGAGGAAUAUUGGACAAUGGGCGCAAGCCUGAUCCAGCCAUGCCGCGUGCAGGAUGACGGUCCUAUGGAUUGUAAACUGCUUUUAUACGAGAAGAAACACUGCUUCGUGAAGCAGCUUGACGGUAUCGUAAGAAUAAGGAUCGGCUAACUCCGUGCCAGCAGCCGCGGUAAUACGGAGGAUCCAAGCGUUAUCCGGAAUCAUUGGGUUUAAAGGGUCCGUAGGCGGUUUAAUAAGUCAGUGGUGAAAGCCCAUCGCUCAACGGUGGAACGGCCAUUGAUACUGUUAGACUUGAAUUAUUAGGAAGUAACUAGAAUAUGUAGUGUAGCGGUGAAAUGCUUAGAGAUUACAUGGAAUACCAAUUGCGAAGGCAGGUUACUACUAAUUGAUUGACGCUGAUGG
Molecule: ribosomal RNA, 691 nt
Filed under: Flavobacterium sp. T100.09.B.LAT.LS.H.Gill.D
Lineage: Bacteria; Pseudomonadati; Bacteroidota; Flavobacteriia; Flavobacteriales; Flavobacteriaceae
Description: bacterial SSU rRNA
Rfam family: Bacterial small subunit ribosomal RNA
Source: RNAcentral